RNAcentral lists this ribosomal RNA (301 nucleotides) under uncultured bacterium. RNAcentral describes it as "partial 16S ribosomal RNA". It matches the Rfam family "Bacterial small subunit ribosomal RNA", at positions 509 to 807 of the family's 1533-position model. The record is from RNAcentral.
CAGUAGCCGCGGUAAUACGAAGGGGGCUAGCGUUGUUCGGAUUUACUGGGCGUAAAGCGCACGUAGGCGGAUUCUUAAGUCAGAGGUGAAAUCCCAAGGCUCAACCUUGGAACUGCCUUUGAUACUGGGGAUCUCGAGUCCGGGAGAGGUGAGUGGAACUGCGAGUGUAGAGGUGAAAUUCGUAGAUAUUCGCAAGAACACCAGUGGCGAAGGCGGCUCACUGGCCCGGUACUGACGCUGAGGUGCGAAAGCGUGGGGAGCAAACAGGAUUAGAUACCCCUGUAGUCCCUGUCUCUUAUAC